UACGUAGGGGGCAAGCGUUAUCCGGAUUUACUGGGUGUAAAGGGAGCGUAGGCGGCGAUGCAAGUCAGAAGUGAAAGCCCGGGGCUCAACUCCGGGACUGCUUUUGAAACUGUGUUGCUAGAUUGCAGGAGAGGUAAGUGGAAUUCCUAGUGUAGCGGUGAAAUGCAUAGAUAUCACGCAGAACUCCGAUUGCGAAGGCAGCUUACUAAGCCAUAACUGACACUGAAGCACGAAAGCGUGGGGAUCAAACAGG
Molecule: ribosomal RNA, 253 nt
Filed under: uncultured Coprococcus sp.
Lineage: Bacteria; Bacillati; Bacillota; Clostridia; Lachnospirales; Lachnospiraceae
Description: partial 16S ribosomal RNA
Rfam family: Bacterial small subunit ribosomal RNA
Source: RNAcentral